Long non-coding RNA from Oncorhynchus mykiss (rainbow trout), 4148 nucleotides. RefSeq lists it as uncharacterized. NCBI's taxonomy places the organism in Eukaryota, Metazoa, Chordata, Actinopteri, Salmoniformes, Salmonidae. The record is from RefSeq and is a predicted model, not a curated record.
AGUGAGAGCAACGGAGGCACGGAGGAGAGCCACAAUGGAUAAACUAACGGGCCACGGGAGGACCGCGCUUUGAUAUAUAAUCCGUCGAGAGAUACCAUCUCGUAUGCCAUCCACGAGAGACAAGUGAAAUAACGGUUAAGGGAUCUCACAACCUCGGAAAUAAACCACCAAUUCGACAUGGAUCGGUUUGAGCAUCGACAGCGCCUUUUAGAAACUGGCUGCCUCCACCUGCUUCGAAGGCGGAUUUUGGAUAAAGAAGCGUUUAUCGUUUUCUGUACUGUCCUCACUUCAUAGGUAAAUCAUCUGAUUUCAUUUCCUCGGUAAAAACCUAUUCUAUAGGCUAGCCAUAUGCUUCUCAUCCUAUACCGGAACCCUUACUGCUGCCUUCCACGCGGGUGCGCCGCCCUCCAUUGGAUGGCAAAAGAACCAGGAAAAAUUUCCUCGCAUUGAAAAGUGGAACCCAUACGAUACUCUGGCAGUAUGUACGAGAAGGAGUCGGUUGCUAUCUUUGGUUAUCUAGCUGUAUGAGUGUUACUCGGCCGUCAUAAAGCUAGCUAACCGAAAGUAGGAAUGUCCUCCAAACCUGCGACUCGGACAGGAAUAAAUGGUGUCUGGGAGUAAAGACACAAAAUAACAUAAUUGAUAUGCAAUUACAGGCCAAUACCUCAGUGCUUUUCCGGUAAGUUAUAACAAUUUUCCCUAAUCACUUAUUAUAAACAUCUGUUGAAACAUUUCUGAAUUCCUCAAAACCUGCUACAACCCGAAAUUAUUUUUAAUACGUUUUCUUACUUAAUUUAGAGAAGAUAUUCUCAAAAUAUAAGUAGGACCAUCUUUAUAGCAUGCCUUUAAAUGAAAAGACAACAUUUUCUACAAUCAUGCUGUGAAUUGAAGUGUAUAUUUGUCCCACUUUUGUUUAGUAUGCUUGGAGCAAGAAUACUCUUUAUAUAUUUAUUUAUUCCAUCACGCAAAGCAUCUGGAGUAUUUUUGCCUAAAACAUCUUCUAAAACGAAAAAUACUUCAGAAAAAGACUUUAUUCCGUUCAGAGGAAUACAUAACUUUAUCCAGUCAUAUGAGUGAACUGUAACAACUGGUAUUCAGGCCUGAAUAUUAAUAAAGGUUUUGUUGCAUCAAAGUAUCCACAGUUGAGGCUGUAUUCCUUAUAGUUCUCACUGCAUAAAUCAGGUUUACAUACACGCAAACACAUAUUGAAUUAAGGUUUAAUGAAAUGGAUUAAGAUUUGUAGCUCAUAUUGAUAUCAUUCUUAAAAAGGUGGAAAGGUUUCAAUUUUCCAGAAAAUGGCCGCUAUUAGCCCUUGUGACGUAUUUAGGCCUACUGUAGUCCAACACCUAUGAAAAAGGCUGUCCUGAUUAAGAUGAGCUAUGUAGGCUUUGCCUACCCCUUCCACUGAUAUUCUGAAUAAGCGUAGGCUAAUGAUAUCUUUCAAUCGAUAUUAAGUCAAGAGAUCCAUGUCAUUACAUAAACGCAUCAUUUCAGGAAUAAAAACAUGUAGUUGUGUUCUCACAUUGAGUUGUGUUACCUAGAAAGGAAGAACACUUAAGAUAUUCAUGGUUUUUGUAGAUUUUAAAUGCAUUAUACCUCCCAUGUGAGUCACACAAUACUUUUACGCAUUGUGUGCACACCUAAUCGCCCAAAUGAUUCAAGUGUCUCAAUUUGGACUUUCUGCCUGGCCCUUCACGGUGCUAUAGCCGUCCCUCAAAAGGCAACUUCUAUAGCUUCUCUUGGAGAACCAAAUCCGGGGAUGCAUUUUCAUUCAACCAACAACUCCUCUCAGAGCCUACAGUGGCUCUCAAUGGCUGGAGCGCGCUCCUGGCUAAUUGGUUUGAUUCAGUAGGAGGAGGCUAUACGCUGGAUUUGUGAAACGUCCAAGCGAGCUUUUCCCACGACCGGACAGAUCUCUCCAUUCAAGUGUGUCACCAGACAAUUUAGAAUUUCCACUGGUCAACCCAGUGACGUAGGGCCCACCAGUCGCUAUUCUGAUAAUCUCGUCCUUAACCAAAACCGCAUCCUAUUGAUGUCUAUUGUGAGCUUUACAUUACCCAAGUGUUGGCCGAUAUCUAAAUUCCUACUCAGGUAUUUUAAUACUGAGAGUAGGCUAGUUGUUGAUGAUGGAAAUGAACAACUACUAUCAACUCACUUGAUUUGAACACUUCAUAUUCUAAUCAAUCUCAAUAUAUGUUUAAAAUAUCCAUCUAUACUUAUUUAUUGUAGCUUCACCUUUCUUCACUAACUGCAUGCUGAUUGCACCUCUACUCUACUCAAAACAAAAGCCUUGUGUCCUCCAGCCUGCCUAUCUGAAUCUCCUCAUCAAUAACUGUAAUGCAGGCUCUGGUCCAAACGAUUCCCAAAAAAGAAGAAUGGAGACAUUAUCUAAAUCAAGCACAUCUAUCUCACCACUCUAUUCUUCUCUAGGCCUAAUCCAAAUAAACAUGUCCUUUGAAUGUUGUAGAAGAACCCUUGGCAUGACUAUUCUAUAACCCGACAAUGAUCAAAUUAAUUGUCGCUGAAUGUUAGUGAUGAGAAUUCAAGCGUAUUGUUUUAAUGGAUAUGUGUAGUUUUUUUUUCACUAUUGCAUUGUAUUGUAUUUGGAAAUGUCUUUGUUAUUGUCAAAGGUUGAUCCAGUGCCCUUGUCACUGCAGUGGCUGCCUGAGAUACACACAGAAACUCUGCAGUGUGAACAGCACACGCUGUCUACUAUAUGUGACUGCCAGCCAUUCACACCAGGUCUGGAUUGAGCGAGGGGAAAGUGGCACAGUUGUCACAAAAAAAGGAGAAAGCAGGAGGGGAAGAAAAAGGCCAACCCCCUUGUCCCUCUUCCCUUAAAUCUCCAUCACCGGAAGCCUUUGGUGCCAUCUGUGCCCCCGGAGAAAAGGACGGACGAGAUGCCUCCACCCUGUGCCAACGGGGACAAAGGAGCUGCCAGUUAGAGCGGCCCCUCUCGCAGGCAGCCAGAGGACUGUGUGACUGACUGGGGCUGAGCUACGGAAGCCAUCUUGAUGGAGAGUCUUGCUGCUGCUCCUAAAAUGGCUGUGUUGGCAUGAGGUCCUGCUGGUGUUGACAACCUUCAGAGGAAGCCUCUUCCAUCAGCCCUGAGCCCUGGGCCCUGGGCCCUGGGCCCUGAGCCCUGGCAGUCGGUUUAGAUGCACCAGCGGGAAUAGCAUGUCAGAUCCCAGGAUGUCACGCAAGGCCUUCCUCAUUGGCAUCCUCUCCAGUUAAACACUGAGAAAUUAGGACACUGAAGAAUCCCCCCUAAAGUUAAUGCUUGGAGAGAUUUACUGUAAGGAUAAUGUUUGGAGUUAUUUGAAGACAUUGUUUGCAGAAGUUGCACACGGAUCAUCUGCAGAUAUAUUGCACUGUUCUCUUUUCCCUGGCGGAGAGUGUAUAGUUUCAAUAUAACUUUUAACAUUACAGCAGAAUGUAAGACAAUGUGUAUGAUGUGAAAUCUAAAGGGAUGAGAUCAACAUGUGUUCAUACCUUAAUUUAAGGACGUGUGUGUGUGUGUGUGUGUGUGUGUGUGUGUGUGGGGGGGGGGGGUGGUCCCUAUUGUACUCUUUAGAGUACUCUGGAGUGUACUGGGCUUCAGAGAAGCACUACAGUGCCCUAAUGUGUGGGCUGCUUACAAGAGAAGCUCUCUGGAUGUCUAUCCUCUGUCAUGUGCAAUUAGUUACUUUAUGAAUAGAACUGACUACUCUAUGCAAAUAAAUGUGAAUGACUCACCCUCUGGCUGUAUUGCAAAUGUUGUUUAAUGUUUGACUGUCACAGUGAAAAGAAAGACAUUGUUUGGUGAAGAUUCCAUCAAUUUACUGUAUAUCCAUCAAAUGCUGCGUUUUUCCAAUUACAAAUAUUAUCUGCAUGCGUUCAUAGUGAUCAGGGAAUGUUCUACAUGAAAUGUAUUGGAUACAGUAUUGAAGCAGUCAGAUUAAUAGCCAUCUCAUUGACUGAUUGUUAUUAUUAUCCUUAUUCAGAGAGAUAGACCGUUUUGAACAUACCUGCAAUAAAGAAAGUGACACAUUCUUGUACACUGUCAUACACAACAUGUUUUUGUAAUUGAGUUCUGACUUGUCAUAACUUCUGUGCUGUUUGAAUUGAAUGUGUAUACAGAAUAAAUAAUUCAACAGAUGUCUAAAAGA